GAUGAACGCUAGCGGCAGGCCUAACACAUGCAAGUCGAGCGGUAGAAGGAGCUUGCUUCUUUGAGACCGGCGCACGGGUGCGUAACGCGUAUGCAAUCUACCUUGUACAGGGGAAUAGCCCAGAGAAAUUUGGAUUAAUGCCCCAUAGUAUAUAACCUUCGCAUGUUGGUUAUCUUAAAGUUCCAACGGUACAAGAUGAGCAUGCAUCCCAUUAGUUAGUUGGUAAGGUAACGGCUUAGCAAGACGAUGAAGGGUAGCUGUCCUGAUGGGGAGCUCCACCGCACUGGAGCUAAGGCACGGACCAGUAUGGGACGGGAGGGAGGAGUAAGGAAUAUUAGGGAAUGAACGCAAGACUGGACCAGCCGCGCGGAGUACAGGAGGACGGUCCUAGGGAAUGUAAGCUACUUGUAAAGAGGAAGAAACCCUCACACGGGUGGGAGAUUGACGGUACUGUAGGAAUAAGGACCGGCUAACUCCGUG
Molecule: ribosomal RNA, 480 nt
Filed under: uncultured bacterium
Lineage: Bacteria
Description: partial 16S ribosomal RNA
Rfam family: Bacterial small subunit ribosomal RNA
Source: RNAcentral